RNAcentral lists this transfer RNA (85 nucleotides) under Felis catus (domestic cat). It matches the Rfam family "tRNA". From Rfam's summary of the family: Transfer RNA (tRNA) molecules are approximately 80 nucleotides in length. Their secondary structure includes four short double-helical elements and three loops (D, anti-codon, and T loops). Lineage: Eukaryota; Metazoa; Chordata; Mammalia; Carnivora; Felidae. The record is from Rfam by way of RNAcentral.
GCCUGGCUGGCUCAGUCGGUUGAGCGUCCGACUUCGGCUCAGGUCAUGAUCUCACGGUCCGUGAGUUCGAGCCCCGCGUCAGGCU